RNAcentral lists this ribosomal RNA (828 nucleotides) under actinobacterium CP107. RNAcentral's name for it is "bacterial SSU rRNA". It matches the Rfam family "Bacterial small subunit ribosomal RNA", at positions 54 to 902 of the family's 1533-position model. The record is from RNAcentral. Lineage: Bacteria; Bacillati; Actinomycetota; Actinomycetes.
CAUGCAAGUCGAACGGAAAGGCCCUUCGGGGUGCUCGAGUGGCGAACGGGUGAGUAACACGUGGGUGAUCUGCCUCGUACUCUGGGAUAAGCCUGGGAAACUGGGUCUAAUACCGGAUAGGACCUUGGGUCGCAUGGCCUUGGGUGGAAAGUUUUUCGGUACGAGAUGGGCCCGCGGCCUAUCAGCUUGUUGGUGGGGUAAUGGCCUACCAAGGCGACGACGGGUAGCCGGCCUGAGAGGGCGACCGGCCACACUGGGACUGAGACACGGCCCAGACUCCUACGGGAGGCAGCAGUGGGGAAUAUUGCACAAUGGGCGCAAGCCUGAUGCAGCGACGCCGCGUGAGGGAUGACGGCCUUCGGGUUGUAAACCUCUUUCACCAGGGGCGAAUUUAGGACGGUACCUGGAGAAGAAGCACCGGCCAACUACGUGCCAGCAGCCGCGGUAAUACGUAGGGUGCGAGCGUUGUCCGGAAUUACUGGGCGUAAAGAGCUCGUAGGCGGUUUGUCGCGUCGUUCGUGAAAACCCGAUGCUUAACGUCGGGCGUGCGGGCGAUACGGGCAGACUUGAGUACUACAGGGGAGACUGGAAUUCCUGGUGUAGCGGUGAAAUGCGCAGAUAUCAGGAGGAACACCGGUGGCGAAGGCGGGUCUCUGGGUAGUAACUGACGCUGAGGAGCGAAAGCGUGGGUAGCGAACAGGAUUAGAUACCCUGGUAGUCCACGCCGUAAACGGUGGGUACUAGGUGUGGGUUUCUUUCACGGGAUCCGUGCCGUAGCUAACGCAUUAAGUACCCCGCCUGGGGAGUACGGCCGCAAGGCUAAAACUC